RNAcentral lists this ribosomal RNA (353 nucleotides) under uncultured Bacteroidota bacterium. RNAcentral's name for it is "bacterial SSU rRNA". It matches the Rfam family "Bacterial small subunit ribosomal RNA", at positions 1030 to 1382 of the family's 1533-position model. Lineage: Bacteria; Pseudomonadati; Bacteroidota. The record is from RNAcentral.
UAUACAAGGUGGCUGCAUGGUUGUCGUCAGCUCGUGCCGUGAGGUGUCGGGUUAAGUCCCAUAACGAGCGCAACCCUAUUGUUAGUUGCCAUCAGGUCAUGCUGGGGACUCUAACAAAACUGCCCGCGUAAGCGUGGAGGAAGGUGGGGAUGACGUCAAAUCAGCACGGCCCUUACGUCCAGGGCUACACACGUGCUACAAUGGCCGGUACAGAGGGCAGCCACUUGGUGACAAGGAGCAAAUCUCAAAAGCCGGUCUCAGUUCGGAUCGGAGUCUGCAACUCGACUCCGUGAAGUUGGAUUCGCUAGUAAUCGUAGAUCAGCAAUGCUACGGUGAAUACGUUCCCGGGCCUU